CCUACGGGUGGCUGCAGUAGGGAAUAUUGCUCAAUGGGGGAAACCCUGAAGCAGCAACGCCGCGUGGAGGAUGAAGGUUUUCGGAUUGUAAACUCCUUUUGUUAGAGAAGUUAAUGACGGUAUCUAACGAAUAAGCACCGGCUAACUCCGUGCCAGCAGCCGCGGGAAUACAGAGGGUGCAAGCUUUACUCGGAAUCACUGGGCGUAAAGAGCGCGUAGGCGGGAUCGCAAGUCAGAUGUGAAAUCCUAUGGCUUAACCAGAGAACUGCAUAUGAUACUGUUAUUCUAGAGUAAGGGAGAGGUAGCUGGAAUGCUUGGUGUAGGGGUGAAAUGCGUAGAGAUCAAGAGGAAUACUCAUGGCGAAGGCGAGCUGCUAGAACAUAACUGACGCUGAGGCACGAAAGCGUGGGGAGCAAAAAGGAUUAGAUACCCUAGUAGUC
Molecule: ribosomal RNA, 440 nt
Filed under: uncultured bacterium
Lineage: Bacteria
Description: partial 16S ribosomal RNA
Rfam family: Bacterial small subunit ribosomal RNA
Source: RNAcentral